Polyodon spathula (Mississippi paddlefish) is the source of this 787-nucleotide long non-coding RNA. RefSeq lists it as uncharacterized. The transcript has 4 exons. The record is from RefSeq and is a predicted model, not a curated record. Lineage: Eukaryota; Metazoa; Chordata; Actinopteri; Acipenseriformes; Polyodontidae.
AACCUACUGAUAAGAAUGAGUAGUAAGCAGUCACACUCGGUUCAGCUUGUAAACAUAGCUGCGCACCUACUAAACAUCUGAGGGAAGAAGAAAAAAAAUACAAAGAAAAUACAGUAUUCACGGCGAAAACAAAAUAACCCUGUGCCUAAAAUAAUACCAGGAAUAGGGACCGGGGGGAGAAAACAGCAGAGUGGCUGGAAGGGAGGUAACGCAGAGAGAUAACAAGAAAAUCCCCAUGGAGUUUCUUCAGCAGCAAAGGGGAGAAGGUACAGCCGCGUGCAAUUCAGCUGGGGGUUUUCAAGAACAGAUCAACAGUGAUAGAGCUCUUCUGUGUUUAAAAGAAAAUUGUCAAGUUGGUGGUGCUAUUGAGGAUACUGGAGAUGGAAGCUCUCAGAAAUGCAAAGCAACACUGGAAUUGCACAAGGAAGUUCUGGUUCUUCAAAAAGAAAAACUACUGUUAGAAAAUGAAAAGCUUCAACUACAAAUUGAAAAACUAAAACUGCGAAAGGAAAAAAUAUGCAGUUAAUUUAUUGGAUUGGUAGUUUUUGGUUCAAGUUAAGCCAAAUAUAUAGCCAUAUAUUAAAUUAACUACCAUUGCAUUUACGUUUUUAGCCUGCAGCACAAAAUGGUAUAGAAAUGAUACAGUAUAUAUUGUUUUAGCUUUAAGAAAUAAUUCAGAAAAAACAAUCCCAAAACUAAAAACGAAAAUGUGUCUUUAUAUUUAGGUAUUAUUUAACUGUAUAAAUACAUCCAUACUAUUUUUGUUCUGUCUUUUUAAUUUUAUAUA